RNAcentral lists this ribosomal RNA (506 nucleotides) under uncultured bacterium. RNAcentral's name for it is "bacterial SSU rRNA". It matches the Rfam family "Bacterial small subunit ribosomal RNA", at positions 8 to 523 of the family's 1533-position model. The record is from RNAcentral.
AGGGUUUGAUUCUGGCUCAGGACGAACGCUGGCGGUGCGCCUUAUGCAUGCAAGUCGAGCGAAGCUUUUCAGUAGUUUACUACAGAAAAUGACUGAGCGGCGAACGGGUGAGUAACGCGUGAGCAAUCUACCUUAGUUACAGGGAUAGCCCGAGGAAACUCGGAUUAAUACCUGAUAUUCUUUAUUUCUCGCAUGAGAAUAAAAGGAAAGGUCAGCCGAACUAAGAUGAGCUCGCGUUCUAUCAGCUAGUUGGUGAGGUAAAAGCUUACCAAGGCUACGACGGAUAGCUGGUCUGAGAGGACGAUCAGCCACACUGGGACUGAGACACGGCCCAGACUCCUACGGGAGGCUGCAGCAGGGAAUAUUGUGCAAUGAACGAAAGUUUGACACAGCGACACCGCGUGUGGGAUGACGGAUCUAGGUUUGUAAACCACUUUCAGGAGGGAAGAAAAUGACGGUACCUCCACAAGAAGCCCCGGCCAACUACGUGCCAGCAGCCGCGGUAA